UACGAAGGGGGCAAGCGUUGUUCGGAAUUACUGGGCGUAAAGGGCGCGUAGGCGGCUUACCAAGUCAGGCGUGAAAUUCCCGGGCUCAACCUGGGGGCUGCGCUUGAUACUGGUGAGCUUGAAUGCGGGAGAGGAUAGUGGAAUUCCCAGUGUAGAGGUGAAAUUCGUAGAUAUUCGCAAGAACACCAGUGGCGAAGGCGGCUCGCUGGGCCAUUCCUGACGCUGAGACGCGAAAGCUAGGGGAGCGAACAGG
This 253-nucleotide ribosomal RNA is filed under the name uncultured bacterium. RNAcentral's name for it is "partial 16S ribosomal RNA". It matches the Rfam family "Bacterial small subunit ribosomal RNA", at positions 524 to 776 of the family's 1533-position model. The record is from RNAcentral.